Molecule: ribosomal RNA, 122 nt
Organism: Pteropus vampyrus (large flying fox)
Lineage: Eukaryota; Metazoa; Chordata; Mammalia; Chiroptera; Pteropodidae
Source: Ensembl
AUGUUUUAGAACAGCAGUAUUAAUUCAAAUGGUGUAUUGUUGAUCUCGAAAGCUAAGCAGGGUCGGGCCUGGUUAGUACUUGGAUGGGAGACCACCUAAAAAGACCAGGUGCUGUAGGCAUA